RNAcentral lists this ribosomal RNA (428 nucleotides) under uncultured bacterium. RNAcentral describes it as "partial 16S ribosomal RNA". It matches the Rfam family "Bacterial small subunit ribosomal RNA", at positions 354 to 796 of the family's 1533-position model. The record is from RNAcentral.
GUGGGGAAUAUUGGGCAAUGGGGGAAACCCUGACCCAGCAACGCCGCGUGAGGGAAGAAGGUUCUCGGAUUGUAAACCUCUGUCCUUGGUGACGAAGGAAGUGACGGUAGCCAAGGAGGAAGCCCCGGCUAACUACGUGCCAGCAGCCGCGGUAAUACGUAGGGGGCAAGCGUUGUCCGGAAUGACUGGGCGUAAAGGGCGUGUAGGCGGCCGAUUAAGUCUGGAGUGAAAGUCCUGCUUGCAAGGUGGGAAUUGCUUUGGAGACUGGUUGGCUUGAGUGCGGAAGAGGUAAGUGGAAUUCCCAGUGUAGCGGUGAAAUGCGUAGAGAUUGGGAGGAACACCAGUGGCGAAGGCGACUUACUGGGCCGUAACUGACGCUGAGGCGCGAAAGCGUGGGGAGCGAACAGGAUUAGAUACCCGGGUAGUCC